This 254-nucleotide ribosomal RNA is filed under the name Ruminococcus sp. RNAcentral describes it as "partial 16S ribosomal RNA". It matches the Rfam family "Bacterial small subunit ribosomal RNA", at positions 1 to 252 of the family's 1533-position model. Lineage: Bacteria; Bacillati; Bacillota; Clostridia; Eubacteriales; Oscillospiraceae. The record is from RNAcentral.
UUUAUGAAGAGUUUGAUCCUGGCUCAGGACGAACGCUGGCGGCACGCCUAACACAUGCAAGUCGAGCGGUGGACAUUGGAUUUAUUCAAGGUUCAUAGCGGCGGACGGGUGAGUAACACGUGAGCAACCUACCUCUAAGUGAGGGAUAGCUUCUGGAAACGGAUGGUAAUACCUUAUAAUAUAUUCUAGCCGCAUGACUGGAAUAUCAAAGAUUUAUCGCUUGAAGAUGGACUCGCGUCUGAUUAGAUAGUUGG